RNAcentral lists this ribosomal RNA (429 nucleotides) under Bacteroidota bacterium. RNAcentral describes it as "Bacteroidetes bacterium partial 16S ribosomal RNA". It matches the Rfam family "Bacterial small subunit ribosomal RNA", at positions 355 to 776 of the family's 1533-position model. Lineage: Bacteria; Pseudomonadati; Bacteroidota. The record is from RNAcentral.
UAGGGAAUCUUCGGCAAUGGGGGGAACCCUGACCGAGCAACGCCGCGUGAGUGAAGAAGGUUUUCGGAUCGUAAAACUCUGUUGUUAGAGAAGAACAGCGCAUAGAGUAACUGUUAUGCGUGUGACGGUAUCUAACCAGAAAGCCACGGCUAACUACGUGCCAGCAGCCGCGGUAAUACGUAGGUGGCAAGCGUUGUCCGGAUUUAUUGGGCGUAAAGCGAGCGCAGGCGGUCAAUUAAGUCUGAUGUGAAAGCCCCCGGCUCAACCGGGGAGGGUCAUUGGAAACUGGUUGACUUGAGUGCAGAAGAGGAGAGUGGAAUUCCAUGUGUAGCGGUGAAAUGCGUAGAUAUAUGGAGGAACACCAGUGGCGAAGGCGACUCUCUGGUCUGUAACUGACGCUGAGGCUCGAAAGCGUGGGGAGCGAACAGG